UGGGGGUUUUCGAAAUUCACACUCCACCCUUUGUGACCUUACCGUCGUUUCCUCGGCGCAUCGCCGCGCCUGGCCCCCGGGGAGGGGUAGCUACCCUGCAGGGCACUUACCCUGCAGGGGAUCGCUGCCCCGCCCCGGGGAAAAGGCAGCGGCGGCGCCGAAAGGACCAUCGAAAAUUUUCUUAGAACACUCUUCGAAACAUUAUUCGAGACACUUCUUAGAACACUCUUCGAAACACUGUUCGAGAAAUUUCCUAGAAGCUUUCAUAGAAUAACCCUCUUAGAAACUCCGCUAGAAAAUCCUUCGAACAACUCUUAGAAGAUUCUUAGAAAAAUUCUUAGAAAAAUUUCCUUUAUCCCCAAACCUCUCUUAUCCAAGCCACUUUGAACAACUAGUUACAAAAAAUAGUUUAAAACUUUCAACAACGGAUCUCUUGGUUCUGGCAUCGAUGAAGAACGCAGCGAAAUGCGAUAACUAAUGUGAAUUGCAGAAUUCAGUGAAUCAUCGAAUCUUUGAACGCACAUUGCGCCCGCCAGCAUUCUGGCGGGCAUGCCUAUCCGAGCGUCAUUUCGACCCUUAAGCCCUGUUGCUUAGCGUUGGGAGUCUGCGUCUUCGGCGCAGUUCCUUAAAAUCAGUGGCGGAGUCAGGGCACACUCUAGGCGUAGUAGUUUCAACGCCUCGCCUCUAGAGUGGCCCCGGCCUCCUGCCGUAAAACCCCUACAACUUCUAGUGGUUGACCUCGGAUUAGGUAGGAAUACCCGCUGAACUUAAGCAUAUCAAUAAGCGGAGGAAAA
RNAcentral lists this ribosomal RNA (794 nucleotides) under fungal sp. TZ-2013. Its description in RNAcentral is "eukaryotic LSU rRNA". The stretch from base 414 to 567 matches the Rfam family "5.8S ribosomal RNA". The record is from RNAcentral. Lineage: Eukaryota; Fungi.